AAGACUAUACUUUCAGGAAUCAUUUCUAUAGUUUCUUACUAGAGAAGUUUCUCUGACUGUGUAGAGCACCGGAAACCAUGAGGAGGAGGUGCAGCGUUCUCUCCUGAGCGUGAAGCUGGCCCUGGGUGUUGCUCUGUGCAAAUGCCCUUUGCCAUUGAUGAUCGUAAAUAAUAAUAAUAAUAAUAAUAAUAAU
Molecule: small nucleolar RNA, 193 nt
Filed under: Jaculus jaculus (lesser Egyptian jerboa)
Lineage: Eukaryota; Metazoa; Chordata; Mammalia; Rodentia; Dipodidae
Description: Small nucleolar RNA U3 (ENSJJAG00000004525.1)
Rfam family: Small nucleolar RNA U3
About the family: Small nucleolar RNAs (snoRNAs) are involved in the processing and modification of rRNA in the nucleolus. There are two main classes of snoRNAs: the box C/D class, and the box H/ACA class.
Source: RNAcentral